CUUUUAAUGAUAUAGCUCAUAAUUUAAAGAUUGUUAAUUUGGCAAAUAAUAUUCUUUCUACUAUCAGUUCUAUUGUGCUAACUGGAAUUAAUCCUAUAUAUAUUGAGCUUGAGCCCAACAAUUGGCUUUGCGAUUGUGAACUUUUGUCCUUGAUACAUUUCGUCUCUAAGCACUCUAGGCUGUUUAUAAAUGUGCCAUAUUGUCGCAUGCCCUACUACUUUUUUGGUAUACUCUUUAACGACCUAGACAGCAGUAAAAUAAAUUGUUCUACGGGUAAUGAACGUAUUACUACUACCCAAAAAACAUAUAUUUCAACCACAACUGCUGAGAAAACAAAUCAAACUACAACAGGCUGGCAAGAAGAACUUUCAACACUAACUACAAUAGGGAGUGUUUAGUUGUUCCCAGGCUGUUGAUUUAAAUGAAAGUGUACGCCUUACUAACCAUUCCCAGAGAGACAUAAACACAAAUAAAGUCGAACCAAAUCAAGCAAACUAUGCCAAUGGCAUUUUUGUUUUUCAACCCCCCACCUAUGACCUCUAUUUAGAGUUAUCAGAUGAUUUUAGUCUACAAGUACGAAUUGAUAACUAUAAUGAUGCAGACCAGAUAAACAUUAUUUGGUUUACAGAACUGUUCGAUAGCAAUAAAGAUGUAUUUGAUGUAGAUUACUCAUACAACUGUAUGCAAUAUUCUGGCCCGUUUUUAACCAUUGCUUCACUGCAUGGAAAUCAUACAUAUACUUUUUGUAUGAUGCCGACAGAUAACGUAGUUAUUUCCCCGCUCUUUUGUCAACCACUCUAUGUACCUAUGGUUGGAGAGAAAACUCAUAAUGCGACGGAUUCUAUUCAAAACACUAGCAAUAAUAAGCAGUUUUCGGUCGCCAUGCUGGUCUUAAUUCUUUUUGUUUCCACAAUUUUUGGAGCAAUAAUUUCAUAUCUUGGUAUCAAAGCCUACCCGGAUCUUUUAGAGGGCUCAAAGAACGUAUUAAUAAUUAAAAAAUUGGAUAAAACAUGCUAUAUAUCAACAAUAACAGAAUCCGAAUACACAAUAGAUGAAACAAAAAGAAAAUACUUUGGUGCAAAAAUUUUAAAUGAUACUCAGCAUCCUUUUUCAGAAGAAACAGUUGUGGAUACUAGAAGUGUUCUAGGCAAGGUUUAUAGAGUUGACGAGUAUGAAAUGCCUAAAGAACUGGAUUUUUCAAUAAAAGAGUAUAGUGAACUCAGUUAUGGAAGUACCCUCACUAUUCCCCCACCAUUACCAAAGCGUAAUUCUAAUAAUUUAAUAUUCAAUUAAAACAAGAAAUAAUAAAAGUUCA
RNAcentral lists this unclassified non-coding RNA (1315 nucleotides) under Drosophila pseudoobscura pseudoobscura. RNAcentral's name for it is "GA31155". Lineage: Eukaryota; Metazoa; Arthropoda; Insecta; Diptera; Drosophilidae. The record is from RNAcentral.